This 4611-nucleotide long non-coding RNA is filed under the name Phaseolus vulgaris (common bean). RNAcentral describes it as "long non-coding RNA (PVUL_LNC002969)". The record is from RNAcentral. Lineage: Eukaryota; Viridiplantae; Streptophyta; Magnoliopsida; Fabales; Fabaceae.
GGAAGGUGGGGAUGAAGAUGAUGGAGGUUGGGUGACAGGGGAAUUGGAAUUUGGAGUUGGGGCAUAGGGGUAGGGUGAUUGAGAUGUUGGGGAAGGAGUGUUUGGAGGUGACGGAAUGUAGGGAGGUUGGGAAAUGGGAGAAGGAGUGGUGGAUGGUGGUGUGGAAAUGUAAGAAGGUGGCUGGGAUAUUGGGGAAGGAGUGGUGGAUGGUGGUGUGGAAAUGUAAGGUGGCUGGGAUAUUGGGGAAGGAGUGGUGUUUGGAGGUGAUGGGAUGUAAGGAGGCUGAGAUAUUGGGGAAGGAGUGUUUGGAGGUGAUGGGGUGUAAGGAGGCUGGGAAGUAGGAGAAGGAGUAUUGGGUUGUGGAGGCACAUAAGGUGACUGAGAAAAGGGUGAUGGGGUUAUUGGAACAAAGGGUGGUUGAUGAUGAGGGGAAGGGGUGUUUGGAGGUAGAGGAGCAUGGGGUGGAUGGUUAUUAGGGGAAGGAGCAUAAGUGGGAGAAGGUGUGUUGGGAGGUAUGGGAGCAUAGGGUGGUUGAGCUUUGGGAGGAAAGGGAAGAUUAGUAGGAGGUGAAGGUGCUUCUGGAGGAGUAUAAACAGGGGGAGGAGUUUGAUGAGGUGGAUAAGGAGCUUUUGGAGGAGAAUAUGGAGGAGGCUCUCUCACAGCCAACACCACAAUAAUAAGUUUCUGACCCUUCUCACAAUUAUAAUCUUUUCCACUGAUGAAAUAAAAGGGACCCGAACGAUCAAACUGAAACUGGGAGGCACCAUCCUCAAACUUCUUGAUCGGGUUCUUCUUGUUACAUUUCUCAUAAUCCUCUUUGUUCACCACCAAAACCGAGUCCGAUCCCUUCUUGUACUUAAAAACUAUGAACAGGAAAAAACAUACAAGUUAAAAGCAUUCAUUCAGAAGGCAGAAAAAAAACUGGAAAGCUUUAGAAUGAAAAUGAACUGACCAAGAGUGUCACUGACUUGGAACCUCAUCCUUUCAGCCCAGUGAUUGUAAUUCUCAGAAGGGUACAAAAGCCACCCAUCUUUUCCACCAACGUUGAAGGUGUAUGCCUGAGACCCCGAGAGGAGACUGAAAAGAAACGACAAGAGACAAAAAACACUAAUCCGAAGCUCCAUGUUGCAGAGAGAGAGAGGAGAGAGAGAAGGAAGAGAGGUGUAGAAAGAAGUGAUGAAAUGGAUUGAUAUAAAGAAAGUGUUGUCCUUGGUUACCGUUGUUGGGGUGCUUGUAGUGUAGGACCAGCGAAGCGUGUUAAACGCGGUGGGGGGGUUUACGUGGGAAGACUAAGACUUACAUGUGGGCAAAUGAUAGAGAAAGAGAAAUUAAAGUUUGAGAAAGUUUGUUUAAUAUAAUAAUAUAUAAUAUGCAGCUACGUGCCACACUUCCCAGCACUGCCAUCUAUCACCAUUCGGACUCAUUUUAUUUUGAAAUUUCCAACCUCACCGAUGCUAUAUGCUUUCUACACAUUAAAAUGUUUCAAAAACAAUAAUAAUAGAAAGAAAACCAAAUCACGGAACUCUAUUGUUUCUGGUAUAUCCAUAUGCUACACUAUUCCGAUUCUCAUUUCAGACCCAUUAAUAAUUCUGCUAUUCCAUGCUUAGAUUGUUCCAAAUCAUAUACUGUAUCAAACAGAGACAGGGACAAAUUUUAAUAGGUUCUUGCUGAUUAACAAAUAUUAAAUUGUUCUCUAUCUUUUGUUCACAUAUAACCUGUGAAGAAUAAAUAGACGGAUUUUAAUUUUUUUCAUAAAGAUUAAAUAUGAAAAUGGUGUGUGUCUGCUUUGAGAGAGAUUAGCAACUAUUGGAAGAGCAUUUGGAUCGUCAAUCUACAGUUAUGCCUUUGGUCCACAAUGACUAUAAUAAAAUUUGAUUUAUUUAAGAAAGAGUAAACGAUAAUUAAGUUUCCAAAGAAAUUAAAUAUUAUUUUAAUUUCACUGUAUUUUAUUAUUAAGUUUUACAAAAUUAUUUUAUUAAUAAAAAAUAUCUUAAAGACCAAUUCCACAUGAACUUAGAUAUUAUUUUAUCAUAAAACUACAGUUUUCUGGAUCAAUUUGAAAAAGUAAUAAAAAUUUAUACUUUUUCAAUAAUUUUAGGUAUAAGUAUCUUGUCAUAUCAGUUAGAAAUGUUAGAAAUGGUCAUGAAAAAAAUAUUAUUAAAAAAAUAUAAAAUAUUAAGUUGAACGUUUAAAUAUGUUUUUUUUAUGUAUUUUUACUUAAAAAUAGCUUCUUUUUAGUUUAAAUUUUUAGAAUUUUUAGUUAUUUGUAAUAAGGGGACUAGAAUAAGUUUUUAUUAAUAUUUUUUUAUAUAAUAAUAAGUUAGUAUGAAAAUAUUUUAUCAUUCUGAUACAUAUUAAAAAUCUAUUCUGAUACGUAUUAAAAACCGGUUUAUCAUGUAGAAAAAAAUAUGAUAAAAGAUUAAUUUCAAUAGUUUCUUUAUUAUAAUAGUCUAAAAUUUAGAAUAGAAAAUAAAAAUUUCUGUGAAAUAAAAGUACAUUUAAUCCUUAAAUUUAUAAAGUUUUUAAUUAAUAAAAUAUAAUUUUAAAAUUAGUUUUUAUUAUUUAAAAUUAAAGGCAAAAUUAGUCAUUUACUAGUUAAGAAAUAAACCUCUAGUCGUCAUCCUUUGUUUUUUUUUUAGUCAAAACGUAUGCUUUGUUUUGCUUUUUCAUAGACUGUUUGGUACGUGAAAUUGACUACCCAGUUAGGAGUUAAUCAUCACAUCCACUUUACAUCAUGUUUUGCUUUUAUUAACAUUUUUAUUAAGUGAUUAGGUUUUUUCAUUAGAUUAGAUGACAAGUGUAAAGUAUUUAAAAUUUGUAUGAAUAACUAAUUUCUAUCAUUUACCCACUUUUAGAAUUUUAGUAGAAUAUACAAGUAUUACUUAAUAAAAAUAUUUUAUAUUAAAAAAAAUCUAUAGUUUUAAAAAUUGGAUUCCUUUUAUAAGAAAACAUUAAAGCCAAACACACCUUAAUUAUUACAUUUUGUGGAUGAAUGUUGACCUAUUUAAAAUUUGUAUGAAUAACUAAUUUCUAUCAUUUACCCACUUUUAGAAUUUUAGUAGAAUAUACGAGUAUUACUUAAUAAAAUUAUUUUAUAUUAAAAAAAAUUCUACAGUUUUAAAAAUUGGAUUCCUUUUAUAAGAAAACAUUAAAGCCAAACACACCUAAUUAUUUCAUUUUGUGGAUGAAUGUUGACCUAUUUAAAAUUUGUAUUAAUAACUAAUUUCUAUCAUAUACCCACUUUUAGAAUUUUAGUAGAAUAUACGAGUAUUACUUACUUAAACUAUUUUAUAUUAAAAAAAAGUCUAUAGUUUUAAAAAUUGAAUUUCUUUUAUAAGAAAACAUUAAAGCCAAACACACCUUAAUUAUUACAUUGUGUGGAUAAAUGUUGACCUAUUUAAAAUUUGUAUUAAUAACUAAUUUCUAUCAUAUACCCACUUUUAGAAUUUUAGCAGAAUAUGCGAGUAUUACUUAAUUAAAUUAUUUUAUAUUAAAAAAUAGUUAUAGUUUUAAAAAUUGGAUUCCUUUUAUAAGAAAAUAUUAAAGCCAAACUCACCUUAAUUAUUACAUUUUGUGGAUGAUUGUUGACCUAGAGAAAGCCAUUAGAAUCCCAUCUAAUCUUGUACUUGGAAUUUAUUGGUGAAGAGUAGAAAUUUCCGAUAUCUGAAUAACAUUAUUGUUUGGUACAAUAACGUUACCAUAUUUUAAAUUAGUAUAUAUGAUGGGACAUGAACACUUAUUUCCUCUAAAAUCUUUAUUUUAAAAAAUCUCCAAGUAAAUUACUAAAAUGACAUCAUUUUUCAUUGAAACUCAAAUAUGCCUUUCAAAUAUCAUUCACAUUUUGUUCCUAUCUUAAAUAAUCUUUUCCAUUUAUACAAUGUGUGAUAUCACUCACUUAUCUUAUUUAAUUAACAUCUAGGUACUUAAUAGUAUACUACUAAUUAAAACGCGUCACUUUACCGUUAGUAUUUAAUAUUAGGUUAUAGGCAUGCUAAGAAUGAUUAUAAGUGUAUUAUUAAUAUUAACUCUCCCUCCCUAAUAUGGCUGUAUCAUUUCUUCCUCUCAUUGAUUGUUUAUUCAAUAUCAAUCUUGUACUCUCUUUUCUUAUAUUUUUUAGUAAAAAUAAACAUAAAACAUUUAUUUUAAUUGUCACAAAUUUGUGUAUUUUAAAAUGAGUUAUAUAGUAAUGCAUUCACAUUAUACAAUAAUUUUAUUUUAUCAUAUAAUAUUAAAUAAAUAAUAACUCUUAAUAAUUUCUAAAAUAGAUAUUGAUAAUUUCAUUUUAUCAUAAAAUGGUUGUUUAUAGUGAUUUACUAUUCACAGACAACCGAGAAUAUGGGGUAAAAUGGGAGAAUGAAGGGAAGGUCAAGAAAAAUUAGUUAAUGUGAUUUUUUCAAUUUUACCAUUUUUUUAUAUAUUAAUUAUUACAUAAAUUUAAUUAACAUUAAUAUUUUAAUAAAAUAAUAAUAAUUAAUAAAAUUUGAUGGAGGUGUGCCUUCAUCCGUAGCUUUUCUUUGGUGGAAUUGGCGGAAACAUUCAUGGAAGAAGACGAGCAAGGAACUCAUGAAGAGUGGUGGACUCCUUGAAGGUGCAUGCUAGGUGUGGAGAGUG